This 250-nucleotide ribosomal RNA is filed under the name uncultured prokaryote. RNAcentral's name for it is "partial 16S ribosomal RNA". It matches the Rfam family "Bacterial small subunit ribosomal RNA", at positions 524 to 773 of the family's 1533-position model. The record is from RNAcentral.
UACGUAGGGGGCGGGCGUUGUCCGGAAUGAUUGGGCGUAAAGGGCGCGUAGGCGGCCCGGCAAGUCUGAAGUGAAAGUCCUGUUUUUAAGAUGGGAAUUGCUUUGGAUACUGUCGGGCUUGAGUGCAGGAGAGGUAAGUGGAAUUCCCAGUGUAGCGGUGAAAUGCGUAGAGAUUGGGAGGAACACCAGUGGCGAAGGCGACUUACUGGACUGUAACUGAUGCUGAGGCACGAAAGCGUGGGGAUCAAAC